CUUUGAUCUACAGUUAGUGGUAUCGAGAUGAUUUAAUAGGGAAUCCCGUUAAAAUCGGGAACGGUCCCGCCGCUGUAAUCCUGUGCCUGAUAAAAUCAGGUAAUGUUACCUCGGGUACAUCCUCAAUCAAUGAGGAUUAACGUCACUGUCCCUGAAUCAGCAGGGGUGGGAAGGCUAACCAUGAGGUCGGGAGAGCCAGAAGACCUGCCACUAUUGUAUUGUUUAA
RNAcentral lists this non-coding RNA (226 nucleotides) under Desulfobacterium sp. Lineage: Bacteria; Pseudomonadati; Thermodesulfobacteriota; Desulfobacteria; Desulfobacterales; Desulfobacteriaceae. The record is from RNAcentral.